Long non-coding RNA from Beta vulgaris subsp. vulgaris (sugar beet), 354 nucleotides. RefSeq lists it as uncharacterized. NCBI's taxonomy places the organism in Eukaryota, Viridiplantae, Streptophyta, Magnoliopsida, Caryophyllales, Amaranthaceae. The transcript is spliced from 2 exons. The record is from RefSeq and is a predicted model, not a curated record.
CACAAUCUGCAAAUUUUUCAAUGAACACACCAAAUUUGGACUAGAAAAUUACCAUAAUUACAAACUUCAAAAACUUAGGUUGUUCAAAAAGUAAUCAAAGAAUCCCCAAUAUCUAGUGAGAAAAACCAAAAAAAAAAAAUGGAAGAAAUUACCUGAAUGAAAUUGAUGGAUCUGCAUGUGAAAUCGACAUGUUUAUUUUGUUUGUGAGGUGAAAUUUAUUAGGAGAGAGAAAGUUGCAGAUCAAAAAAAUUCCUGUGUUUGAGCACACUCCCUAUUUGAUUCCUAUAUGAACUCAGAGAAUCUAGAGAAAGACGUUGAUUCUCAGCUGAUAAAAAGACUCUGAAAUUCACAAAG